GACUCAGUCGUGUAGUGGUAGAGCACGUGUUUCCGGAUGCGAUGAAACGUGGGUUCGACUCCCGCCUGAGGCC
This is a non-coding RNA of Parelaphostrongylus tenuis, 73 nucleotides long. The record is from the annotation of a GenBank genome assembly. Lineage: Eukaryota; Metazoa; Nematoda; Chromadorea; Rhabditida; Metastrongylidae.